Molecule: ribosomal RNA, 254 nt
Filed under: uncultured bacterium
Lineage: Bacteria
Description: partial 16S ribosomal RNA
Rfam family: Bacterial small subunit ribosomal RNA
Source: RNAcentral
UACGUAGGGGGCAAGCGUUGUCCGGAAUUAUUGGGCGUAAAGAGCUCGUAGGCGGUUCGGCAAGUCGGAUGUGAAAUCUCCACGCUUAACGUGGAGGGGCCAUUCGAAACUGCCGUGACUCGAGUCCGGUAGGGGAGUUCGGAAUUCCCGGUGUAGCGGUGAAAUGCGCAGAUAUCGGGAGGAACACCAGUGGCGAAGGCGGAACCCUGGGCCGGAACUGACGCUGAGGAGCGAAAGCGUGGGGAGCGAACAGG